RNAcentral lists this transfer RNA (85 nucleotides) under Pseudomonas aeruginosa. Its description in RNAcentral is "tRNA-Leu (TAG) (tRNA-Leu-TAG-1-1)". It matches the Rfam family "tRNA". Rfam says of the family: Transfer RNA (tRNA) molecules are approximately 80 nucleotides in length. The record is from RNAcentral. RNAcentral also lists the same sequence under 375 other names. Lineage: Bacteria; Pseudomonadati; Pseudomonadota; Gammaproteobacteria; Pseudomonadales; Pseudomonadaceae.
GCGGACGUGGUGGAAUUGGUAGACACACUGGAUUUAGGUUCCAGCGCCGCAAGGCGUGAGAGUUCGAGUCUCUCCGUCCGCACCA